Molecule: long non-coding RNA, 524 nt
Filed under: Setaria viridis
Lineage: Eukaryota; Viridiplantae; Streptophyta; Magnoliopsida; Poales; Poaceae
Description: long non-coding RNA (SVIR_LNC010266)
Source: RNAcentral
GGGUACGUUACAUAUAAGGAUCGGAAGAAGAACAGCAGAACAGGGAGAAAAGAGAAGAGAUGAGAAUUUUCCGAAGCUGAGACUUUUCCCAGAUGAUUGAGAAGCUAAUGUAGUGUUAGGUUUGGUCAAAUGGACUGACUUGGACUACGUCUAGUUUGGUUUUGUUUAUGGAAAUUUGGUGGAAGAGAAAGGCAUCAGAUGUUCGUUUUUUCUCUCUAGACGGCAAUACGGCUUUAUAUAACUUCUUUGCUGUUACGACUGUUGAUUGAGCUCGAGGUGUACGCCUGCAGAAAUGUGUCAAUGAAGAACACUGACGUGUGCAGGUACGUUUGUGCAAGUAAUUUAUUCAAUUAUUUGCUGUGUACAUCUAUCGAUCUGGUAUAGCCUAGCCACAAGGCAUAAGGCAUAAGUGACAGUCCUGGAGAACUGAUUUCCCAUCCAGCUCCUUAAAUUUCGGUUAACAUUGAGUGACUUUAAUCUUGUGUCAAAAAUGUGCCAUCGAAGGCCACCGUUGUAUUUAUAAC